This 229-nucleotide ribosomal RNA is filed under the name uncultured bacterium. RNAcentral describes it as "partial 16S ribosomal RNA". It matches the Rfam family "Bacterial small subunit ribosomal RNA", at positions 118 to 348 of the family's 1533-position model. The record is from RNAcentral.
UGAGCAAUCUGCCCUUCUCAUCGGAAUAAGCGUUGGAAACGACGUCUAAUGCCGAAUACGACCUCCUUUCGCAUGAUCGGAGGUGGAAAGCUCCGGCGGAGAAGGAUGAGCUCGCGGCCUAUCAGCUAGUUGGUGUGGGUAAUGGCCCACCAAGGCGACGACGGGUAGCCGGCCUGAGAGGGUGACCAGCCACACUGGGACUGAGACACGGCCCAGACUCCUAGGGAGG